RNAcentral lists this ribosomal RNA (114 nucleotides) under uncultured bacterium. RNAcentral describes it as "partial 16S ribosomal RNA". It matches the Rfam family "Bacterial small subunit ribosomal RNA", at positions 1369 to 1482 of the family's 1533-position model. The record is from RNAcentral.
CGUUCCCGGAUCUUGUACACACCGCCCGUCACACCAUGGGAGCGGGUUUUACCAGAAGUAGGUAGCCUAACCGCAAGGGGGGCGCUUACCACGGUAGGAUUCGUGACUGGGGUG